UACGUAGGGCGCAAGCGUUGUCCGGAAUUAUUGGGCGUAAAGAGCUCGUAGGCGGCUUGUCGCGUCGAAUGUGAAAACCCACGGCUCAACUGUGGGCUUGCAUUCGAUACGGGCAGGCUAGAGUUCGGUAGGGGAGACUGGAAUUCCUGGCGUAGCGGUGAAAUGCGCAGAUAUCAGGAGGAACACCGGUGGCGAAGGCGGGUCUCUGGGCCGAUACUGACGCUGAGGAGCGAAAGCGUGGGGAGCGAACAGG
This 253-nucleotide ribosomal RNA is filed under the name uncultured bacterium. RNAcentral's name for it is "partial 16S ribosomal RNA". It matches the Rfam family "Bacterial small subunit ribosomal RNA", at positions 524 to 776 of the family's 1533-position model. The record is from RNAcentral.